GACGAACGCUGGCGGCGUGCCUAAUACAUGCAAGUAGAACGCUGAAGAGAGGAGCUUGCUCUUCUUGGAUGAGUUGCGCACGGGUGAGUAACGCGUAGGUAACCUGCCUGGUAGCGGGGGAUAACUAUUGGAAACGAUAGCUAAUACCGCAUAAAAUGGAUUAUCGCAUGAUAAUCCAUUGAAAGGUGCAAAUGCAUCACUACCAGAUGGACCUGCGUUGUAUUAGCUAGUUGGUGGGGUAACGGCUCACCAAGGCGACGAUACAUAGCCGACCUGAGAGGGUGAUCGGCCACACUGGGACUGAGACACGGCCCAGACUCCUACGGGAGGCAGCAGUAGGGAAGCUUCGGCAAUGGACGGAAGUCUGACCGAGCAACGCCGCGUGAGUGAAGAAGGUUUUCGGAUCGUAAAGCUCUGUUGUAAGAGAAGAACGAGUGUGAGAGUGGAAAGUUCACACUGUGACGGUAUCUGACCAGAAAGGGACGGCUAACUACGUG
RNAcentral lists this ribosomal RNA (497 nucleotides) under uncultured bacterium. RNAcentral describes it as "partial 16S ribosomal RNA". It matches the Rfam family "Bacterial small subunit ribosomal RNA", at positions 28 to 507 of the family's 1533-position model. The record is from RNAcentral.